Molecule: ribosomal RNA, 343 nt
Filed under: uncultured soil bacterium
Lineage: Bacteria
Description: bacterial SSU rRNA
Rfam family: Bacterial small subunit ribosomal RNA
Source: RNAcentral
AGAUUGAACGCUGGCGGCAUGCCUUACACAUGCAAGUCGAACGGCAGCACGGGGGGCAACCCUGGUGGCGAGUGGCGAACGGGUGAGUAAUGCAUCGGAACGUGCCCAGUAGUGGGGGAUAACUAGUCGAAAGAUUAGCUAAUACCGCAUACGACCUACGGGUGAAAGCGGGGGAUUCGCAAGAACCUCGCGCUAUCGGAGCGGCCGAUGUCUGAUUAGCUAGUUGGCGGGGUAAAAGCCCACCAAGGCUUCGAUCAGUAGCUGGUCUGAGAGGACGACCAGCCACACUGGGACUGAGACACGGCCCAGACUCCUACGGGAGCAGCAGUGGGAAUUUGGACAU